GCGGGUGUAGUGUAACGGCAGCACACGACCCUUCCAAGGUCUUAGAGGCAGUUCGAAUCUGCUCACCCGCU
This 71-nucleotide transfer RNA is filed under the name Anaerolineae bacterium. RNAcentral describes it as "tRNA-Gly". It matches the Rfam family "tRNA". Rfam says of the family: Transfer RNA (tRNA) molecules are approximately 80 nucleotides in length. The record is from RNAcentral. Lineage: Bacteria; Bacillati; Chloroflexota; Anaerolineae.